GGGGGGCUGGCGCAACGGUAGCGCGUCAGAUUCCAGUCCUGAAGGUUAUCCGUUCGAAUCGGGUGCUCCUCA
Molecule: transfer RNA, 72 nt
Filed under: Hirsutella minnesotensis 3608
Lineage: Eukaryota; Fungi; Ascomycota; Sordariomycetes; Hypocreales; Ophiocordycipitaceae
Description: tRNA-Trp (CCA) (tRNA-Trp-CCA-1-1)
Rfam family: tRNA
About the family: Transfer RNA (tRNA) molecules are approximately 80 nucleotides in length. Their secondary structure includes four short double-helical elements and three loops (D, anti-codon, and T loops).
Source: RNAcentral